RNAcentral lists this ribosomal RNA (497 nucleotides) under uncultured bacterium. RNAcentral describes it as "partial 16S ribosomal RNA". It matches the Rfam family "Bacterial small subunit ribosomal RNA", at positions 28 to 507 of the family's 1533-position model. The record is from RNAcentral.
GAUGAACGCUGGCGGCGUGCCUAAUACAUGCAAGUCGAACGGACGGACGAGAAGCUUGCUUCGCUGAUGUGAGCGGAGGGCGGGUGAGUAACGCGUGGAUAACCUACCUAUAAGACUGAGAUCACUUCGGGAAACCGGAGCUAAUCCCGUAGAAUAUUUUGAACCGCAGGGUGCAAAGGUGAAAGACGGUCUUGGGGGCACUUAUAGCUGCUUCCGCGCUUCAUUAGCUGGUUGGUAAGGUAACGGCCUACCACGGGAACGAUGCAUGGCCGACCGGAGAGGGUGAUCGGCCACAUGGGAGCUGAGACAGGGACAAGAGUACUAAGGUAGGGCGCAGUAGGCAAUCGUAGGCAAUGGGGGAAAGUAUUACGGAGCGACCCCGCGCGAGUGACGAAGGCCUCCGGAGCGUAAAACUCGGUUAUGAGUGAAGAACAGAUGUGUAAGGAACUGUGCACAUCUUGACGGUAAUUAAUCAGAAAGCACCGGCUAACUACGUG